Molecule: ribosomal RNA, 261 nt
Filed under: uncultured bacterium
Lineage: Bacteria
Description: partial 16S ribosomal RNA
Rfam family: Bacterial small subunit ribosomal RNA
Source: RNAcentral
GUCCUAGCCGUAAACGUUGGGUGCUAGGUGUGGGAGGACAUUGACCCCUUCCGUGCCGAAGCUAACGCAUUAAGCACCCCGCCUGGGGAGUACGGCCGCAAGGCUAAAACUCAAAGGAAUUGACGGGGGCCCGCACAAGCGGCGGAGCAUGCGGCUUAAUUCGAUGCAACGCGAAUAACCUUACCUGGGUUUGACAUGCAGGGUGAAAUCGGUGAAAGCUGACGCUCUUCGGAGCCUGCACAGGUGGUGCAUUGCUGUCGU